This is a long non-coding RNA of Ictalurus punctatus (channel catfish), 1087 nucleotides long. RefSeq lists it as uncharacterized. The transcript has 3 exons. Lineage: Eukaryota; Metazoa; Chordata; Actinopteri; Siluriformes; Ictaluridae. The record is from RefSeq and is a predicted model, not a curated record.
UGAGGCUUAGAGGGGAGGAUCCUGAUGAGUUUGUAGGAAAAGGCCUCUAAUACUUGUCUCUAUAGUCUAAUAUAACAAAAUGAAGCUGGGUCUCUUUGCUGUGUUGUUGUGUGCCAUGCAGUGGAGAGGCAGCAUGACAACAGCAGGACAUGAAAACCCCAUAUCAUGUUGUAGAGAAACCAGCAAAUACAGGGUCAGAGUUGAAAAGAUUGUGAGCUAUGUGCAUCAAGAUGAACCACUUUGCCCUAUCAAAGCUAUAAGGAAAGUUUAAUUUGGUACAUAGCAAAACAAUAUGCUCUAAUCCAGCAGAUCCUUGGGCCAAACAUGCCAUAAAGGAACUGGAUAGAAGAACAACAGCCAACAAGUAGAACCUGAUGCCAAUUGUGUCAACUGGGAAGCCUCCACUGCCAACAAGAUUUGACCUUGCUGUGGCUUCCUCUGCUUGGAUAAAUUCCAAAGCCUUAUCAGUAGAUCUGCUGGUUACAAAGAUAAUUCCAUAUGAAUCCUACAAAUAUUCAACCACUCUUUCACUCUUGAGAUAUUGCACUAACCAGAAAAUAAAAGCUAAUAAAGGUAAAUCAGGCUUAUAAUGUCUGGGCAGCAGUUUCAGAAUGUGUAACAUGAUGUAUAUUAAACUUACUGAAAGUGUUCUCAUCAUUCUAACUAACCUGUAUGGAUAAAUCUUAAACCCCCCAAAAAAAAAUUUUUUUUAGCGAAUAAAAAUCAUGUUUUGGUUUAUAUAUGAGAAAAAUGUCUUCGAUAUUAAAUUAACUUUUUCACAUUUGCCCAGAGAUUAAACGUUUACUCUUUACAUUUAAUGUUAAAUUGUUUGGAAUAUAUAUAUAUAUAUAUAUUUUCAUAUUCAAUUUGGAAAUUGUGACUGAAUAUUAUCUUUAAUAACCAACAAUCUUUAAUAUGGUGCUGUUACAGUCACUGGAGGCACGGGCACAGGUGGUUUCGCCAGUGAGAAAUUACGAUUAAAGAUGUAUUUUCCAAGAUGGUGUCAACAGCAUCUCAAAGCACACAUCAUUAAUCACAACAGCAUUAAUAAAUUAUUCUUUUAAAUCCUUUUUGGGAGGUAAAUGUU